RNAcentral lists this ribosomal RNA (252 nucleotides) under uncultured bacterium. RNAcentral describes it as "partial 16S ribosomal RNA". It matches the Rfam family "Bacterial small subunit ribosomal RNA", at positions 524 to 776 of the family's 1533-position model. The record is from RNAcentral.
UACGUAGGGACCGAGCGUUGUCCGGAAUCAUUGGCGUAAAGAGCGUGUAGGCGGCCACUUAAGUCCUGCGUGAAAUCUUGCGGCUCAACCGCAAGCGGUCGUGGGAAACUGGGUGGCUAGAGUGCGGGAGAGGAGAGUGGAAUUCCUGGUGUAGCGGUGGAAUGCGCAGAUAUCAGGAAGAACACCCGUGGCGAAGGCGGCUCUCUGGAACGCAACUGACGCUGAGACGCGAAAGCGUGGGGAGCAAACAGG